This is an RNA transcript of Dioscorea cayenensis subsp. rotundata (Guinea yam), 1754 nucleotides long. It is a transcript of the gene named exosome complex component RRP45A-like, with no coding region annotated. Lineage: Eukaryota; Viridiplantae; Streptophyta; Magnoliopsida; Dioscoreales; Dioscoreaceae. The record is from RefSeq and is a predicted model, not a curated record. The transcript is spliced from 11 exons.
UAGAAACCCUAUUCGGUUUUCUCUCAGCUUUUGGCUCUCUUGCUCUCGGCCUCGCCAGUCGCCGCUGAUUCCUCUCCGACGAGAGGAAGAAUGGAGCAGAGGAUGUCGAGCACCUGGCGGUUGACGGUCAACGAGAAGAAGUUCAUUGAGACUGCGUUGCUUGCCGAUCUCCGGGUUGAUGGUCGCCGUCCCUUUGAUUACCGCCCUCUCUCGAUCAAGUUCGGGAGAGAGGAUGGUUCGUCCGAGGUCCAACUUGGUGAAACUCAUGUCAUGGGCUACGUGACUUCACAACUUGUUCAACCUUAUCGUGACAGGCCUAAUGAAGGAACACUUGCUAUAUAUACUGAAUUUUCACCAAUGGCUGAUCCUACUUUUGAGGCAGGUCGGCCUGGAGAGUCAGCAGUUGAGCUGGGUCGCGUGAUUGACCGUGGCCUGAGGGAAAGUAGAGCAGUGGAUAUGGAGUCCCUGUGCGUUGUUGCAGGGAAAUCAGUGUGGGCUGUUCGUGUGGAUCUCCACAUUCUUGAUAACGGAGGGAAUCUCAUAGAUGCAGCUAACAUAGCUGCUCUGGCUGCUCUUUCGACCUUUCGGAGGCCUGAAUGUACAGUUGGCGGAGAAGAUGGUCAGGAAGUUAUCAUGCAUCCACCUGAGGUUAGGGAACCAAUUCCUUUAACUAUUCACCAUCUUCCUGUGGCAGUAACCUUUGCAUUCUUUAGUGAAGGUAACAUCCUGGUAAUCGAUCCAACUUACAAGGAAGAGGCUGUCAUGGGUGGAAGGAUGACGGCUACCAUGAAUAUGAAUGGUGAUGUAUGUGCAGUCCAGAAGGCUGGUGGAGAAGGUGUGAUGAUGAGUGUCAUUAUGCAGUGUUUGCGGAUAGCUUCUAUGAAAGCUGCUGAUAUCACAAGUAAAAUAAAAAAUGCGGUAGAUGCAUACAACACUGAAAGAUCAUUGAGAAAUGUCAAACGCCAUCCAUCAUCAAUUGCAAUUGAUGUUGGUGUUUCAGAAGUUGCUAUGCAGGAGGAUCAAGUUGAUGAUCUUCAAAAAGAUGCACAAAUCUUGGAAGAUAAGUCGAGGGCAAGCUCUAGUGGCAAUAUUGGUCUCAUUGGAGUUGAAACCAGUUCAUCACGUAGAAGAGAGAAAAAAACUGGAGGCAAUAAUGGUGAACCAUUUAUUGGUGGCCCUUCUAAUUGGGAUCCAUACCCCAAAGAAAUUUCUUCCAGUUAUAUAAGGAGUUCUCAGGCUUUACCUGGCCCCUCAACCUUGAACGAUGAGCAAGAAGUUACAAAAAUGGCCCAAAAAUCGAGUCUGUCCCAUGUUGAUACAGCAGCAAAUGUAAGUGAUGCUCCAACUGAGACGAUCACAAGUAUGAACCCGCAAACAAGUUCACCAAAAAGUCUGAAAGAUGCUGUGAAAAAGAAAAAUAGGAAAAGGAGGUAAUGGAGUAUCUGCUAGUGACAUCACAGCUAAUUUUCACGAGUGGUGGGCAAUAAAGUCCACCCAUCAGGUAUUUGUUGCGUCAUUGGGUGCGGAUUCGGAAUCGGGGAAUCAGAAAAUAGAGAACCUGAAUUUUUUUUUUCUCAUUUAUAAAGGCUUUGUGAAACAAAUGUUAUGAAGCUAGCUUUUAUCAUUAGAGGAGAGGCACAGUUUAAGGUCCCAGGGCUUGAUAGAAGCUCAUGUUUAUUCAGUGAAGUAUGUACUGUAAGAGUUGAAUUAUUUUACACACAAUAUCAAAGACCAUGAAAUACUUUUUUGUUUAA